RNAcentral lists this ribosomal RNA (892 nucleotides) under Lacticaseibacillus rhamnosus. Its description in RNAcentral is "bacterial SSU rRNA". It matches the Rfam family "Bacterial small subunit ribosomal RNA", at positions 58 to 913 of the family's 1533-position model. Lineage: Bacteria; Bacillati; Bacillota; Bacilli; Lactobacillales; Lactobacillaceae. The record is from RNAcentral.
CAAGUCGAACGAGUUCUGAUUAUUGAAAGGUGCUUGCAUCUUGAUUUAAUUUUGAACGAGUGGCGGACGGGUGAGUAACACGUGGGUAACCUGCCCUUAAGUGGGGGAUAACAUUUGGAAACAGAUGCUAAUACCGCAUAAAUCCAAGAACCGCAUGGUUCUUGGCUGAAAGAUGGCGUAAGCUAUCGCUUUUGGAUGGACCCGCGGCGUAUUAGCUAGUUGGUGAGGUAACGGCUCACCAAGGCAAUGAUACGUAGCCGAACUGAGAGGUUGAUCGGCCACAUUGGGACUGAGACACGGCCCAAACUCCUACGGGAGGCAGCAGUAGGGAAUCUUCCACAAUGGACGCAAGUCUGAUGGAGCAACGCCGCGUGAGUGAAGAAGGCUUUCGGGUCGUAAAACUCUGUUGUUGGAGAAGAAUGGUCGGCAGAGUAACUGUUGUCGGCGUGACGGUAUCCAACCAGAAAGCCACGGCUAACUACGUGCCAGCAGCCGCGGUAAUACGUAGGUGGCAAGCGUUAUCCGGAUUUAUUGGGCGUAAAGCGAGCGCAGGCGGUUUUUUAAGUCUGAUGUGAAAGCCCUCGGCUUAACCGAGGAAGUGCAUCGGAAACUGGGAAACUUGAGUGCAGAAGAGGACAGUGGAACUCCAUGUGUAGCGGUGAAAUGCGUAGAUAUAUGGAAGAACACCAGUGGCGAAGGCGGCUGUCUGGUCUGUAACUGACGCUGAGGCUCGAAAGCAUGGGUAGCGAACAGGAUUAGAUACCCUGGUAGUCCAUGCCGUAAACGAUGAAUGCUAGGUGUUGGAGGGUUUCCGCCCUUCAGUGCCGCAGCUAACGCAUUAAGCAUUCCGCCUGGGGAGUACGACCGCAAGGUUGAAACUCAAAGGAAUUGA